RNAcentral lists this ribosomal RNA (1768 nucleotides) under synthetic construct. RNAcentral's name for it is "SSU rRNA". It matches the Rfam family "Eukaryotic small subunit ribosomal RNA". RNAcentral also lists the same sequence under 1 other name. The record is from RNAcentral.
GCUUGUCUCAAAGAUUAAGCCAUGCAUGUAUAAGUAUAAACGCUCUGAAGCGUGAAACCGCGAACGGCUCAUUACAACAGCUAUAAUUUACUUGAUCUUGAUUACCUACUUGGAUAACUGUGGWAAUUCUAGAGCUAAUACAUGCACCAAAGCUCCAACCCGUAAGGGAAGAGCGCAUUYAUUAGAACAAAACCAUGCGGCUUCGGCCGCUCAAUGUUGACUCAGAAUAACUAAGCUGAUCGCAUGGUCUUGUACCGGCGACGUGUCUUUCAAGUAUCUGCCUUAUCAACUUUCGAUGGUACUGUCAUUGACUACCAUGGUGGUGACGGGUAACGGAGGAUCAGGGUUCGACUCCGGAGAAGGGGCCUGAGAAAUGGCCACUACGUCUAAGGAUGGCAGCAGGCGCGCAAAUUACCCACUCUCAGAACAAUUUGAGGAGGUAGUGACGAGAAAUAACGAGACCGUUCUCAACAGAGGCCGGUCAUCGGAAUGGGUACWAUUUAAACCCUUUAACGAGUAUCUAUGAGAGGGCAAGCCUGGUGCCAGCAGCCGCGGUAAUUCCAGCUCUCAAAAUGCAUAGAAUUAUUGCUGCGGYUAAAAAGCUCGUAGUUGGAUCUGUGCCGACAGACUGGUCCAUCUUCGGAUGCGUACUGGUUAUUGUCGGCUUUCCUGCAGUUUUGCGGCUCAGUGCCUCUCACGGGGUGCAGUGUCCGUUGCUGCAAGUUUACUUUGAACAAAUCAGAGUGCUCUAAACAGGCGUUUCGCUUGAAUGUUCGUGCAUGGAAUAAUAGAAGAGGAUUUCGGUUCUAUUUUAUUGGUUUUAUAGACUGAGAUAAUGGUUAACAGAGRCAAACGGGGGCAUUCGUAUUGCUACGUGAGAGGUGAAAUUCUUGGACCGUAGCAAGACGAACUACAGCGAAAGCAUUUGCCAAGAAUGUCUUCAUUAAUCAAGAAYGAAAGUCAGAGGUUCGAAGGCGAUCAGAUACCGCCCUAGUUCUGACCGUAAACGAUGCCAACUAGCKAUCCGCCGGCGGAAUUCUUGCCCUGGUGGGGAGCUUCCCGGAAACGAAAGUCUUCCGGUUCCGGGGGAAGUAUGGUUGCAAAGCUGAAACUUAAAGGAAUUGACGGAAGGGCACCACCAGGAGUGGAGCCUGCGGCUUAAUUUGACUCAACACGGGAAAACUCACCCGGCCCGGACACCGUAAGGAUUGMCAGAUUGAUAGCUUUUUCAUGAUUCGGUGGAUGGUGGUGCAUGGCCGUUCUUAGUUCGUGGAGCGAUUUGUCUGGYUUAUUCCGAUAACGAGCGAGACUCUGGCCUACUAAAUAGUCGGCGCAUUGUCUCUGUGUGCAUGACUUCUUAGAGGGAUUUUCGGUGUUCAGCCGCACGAAAUUGAGCAAUAACAGGUCUGUGAUGCCCUUAGAUGUCCGGGGCUGCACGCGCGCUACACUGGCAAAAUCAGCGUGCUUGUCCUCCUCCGAAAGGAGUUGGUAAACCAUUGAAAAUUUGCCGUGAUUGGGAUCGGAAAUUGCAAUUAUUUUCCGUGAACGAGGAAYUCCAAGUAAGUGCGAGUCAUCAACUCGCGUUGAUUACGUCCCUGCCCUUUGUACACACCGCCCGUCGCUGCCCGGGACUGAGCCAUUUCGAGAAACUUGGGGACCGCUGAUUUGCAGUCUUUCGGGCCUGCUUAUUGGUGGGAACCAAUUUAAUCGCAGUGGCUUGAACCGGGCAAAAGUCGUAACAAGGUAGCUGUAGGUGAACCUGCAGCUG